UACCAGCACCCCGAGUGGUCGGGACGAUUAUUGGGCCUAAAGCAUCCGUAGCCGGCCUUACAAGUCCUCCGUUAAAUCCAGCUGCUUAACAGAUGGGCUGCGGAGGAUACUAUAAGACUAGGAGGCAGGAGAGGCAAGCGGUACUCAGUGGGUAGGGGUAAAAUCCGUUGAUCCAUUGAAGACCACCAGUGGCGAAGGCGGCUUGCCAGAAUGCGCUCGACGGUGAGGGAUGAAAGCUGGGGGAGCAACCGG
This 252-nucleotide ribosomal RNA is filed under the name uncultured bacterium. RNAcentral's name for it is "partial 16S ribosomal RNA". It matches the Rfam family "Archaeal small subunit ribosomal RNA", at positions 474 to 726 of the family's 1478-position model. The record is from RNAcentral.